Molecule: ribosomal RNA, 466 nt
Filed under: uncultured bacterium
Lineage: Bacteria
Description: partial 16S ribosomal RNA
Rfam family: Bacterial small subunit ribosomal RNA
Source: RNAcentral
GACGAACGCUGGCGGCGUGCUUAACACAUGCAAGUCGAACGGAAAGGCCCUGCUUUUGUGGGGUGCUCGAGUGGCGAACGGGUGAGUAACACGUGAGUAACCUGCCCUUGACUUUGGGAUAACUUCAGGAAACUGGGGCUAAUACCGGAUAGGAGCUCCUGCUGCAUGGUGGGGGUUGGAAAGUUUCGGCGGUUGGGGAUGGACUCGCGGCUUAUCAGCUUGUUGGUGGGGUAGUGGCUUACCAAGGCUUUGACGGGUAGCCGGCCUGAGAGGGUGACCGGCCACAUUGGGACUGAGAUACGGCCCAGACUCCUACGGGAGGCAGCGGUGGGGAAUAUUGCACAAUGGGCGGAGGCCUGAUGCAGCAACGCCGCGGGCGGGAUGACGGCCUUCGGGUUGUAAACCGCUUUCGCCUGUGACGAAGCGUGAGUGACGGUAAUGGGUAAAGAAGCACCGGCUAACUACG